Molecule: ribosomal RNA, 2629 nt
Filed under: Verrucomicrobiota bacterium
Lineage: Bacteria; Pseudomonadati; Verrucomicrobiota
Description: bacterial LSU rRNA
Rfam family: Bacterial large subunit ribosomal RNA
Source: RNAcentral
AGAAGGUGAAAGCCCUGUAGGCGAAAAGCAAAUGGCUCCCUUGUCAGACACCCAAGUACUGCGGGACACGAGAAAUCUUGCAGGAACCCGGGAGGACCACCUCCCAAGACUAAAUACUCUCUAGCGACCGAUAGUGAACCAGUACCGUGAGGGAAAGGUGAAAAGUACUCCUGGCGGAGAGUGAAAUAGAACCUGAAACCGUGUGCUUACAAGCUGUCGGAGCCGACCCGGGAUCUUCGGAUCCCGGUAUAGGUGACGGCGUGCCUUUUGCAUAAUGAUCCGGCGAGUUUUUUUGUGCUGCAAGGUUAAGCAGUUAAGCUGCGUAGCCGUAGCGAAAGCAAGUCCUAACUGGGCGGUUAGUAGCAUGGAGAAUAACCCGAAACCCAGUGAUCUACCCAUGGCCAGGUUGAAGCGUACCUAACCGUACGUGGAGGACCGAACCCACUGAAGUUGAAAAUUCAGGGGAUGAGCUGUGGGUAGGGGUGAAAGGCCAAUCAAACUGGGAGAUAGCUGGUUCUCUUCGAAAUAGCUUUAGGGCUAGCCUCGGGAUAUAUGUAGCGGAGGUAGAGCACUGAUUGGGCUAGGGCCCCCACCAGGGUACCAACCCCAGUCAAACUCCGAAUGCCGUAUACAAGGACCCCGGGAGUCAGGGCGCGUGCGAUAAGGUUCGUGUCCGAGAGGGAAACAACCCAGAUCGCCGGCUAAGGCCCCCAAGUUCAGACUAAGUGGUUGAAAGGAUGUGGAAUUGCACAGACAACUAGGAUGUUGGCUUAGAAGCAGCCAUCAUUUAAAGAGUGCGUAACUGCUCACUAGUCAAGUGAUCCUGCGCCGAAAAUUAUCGGGACUCAAGUCUGACGCCGAAGCCGCGAACUCAAAUCUUCGGAUUUGAGUGGUAGGAGAGCGUUCUGUUCUGAUUGAAGGUGACCUGUAAGGGUUGCUGGACGGGACAGAAGUGAGAAUGCCGGAACGAGUAGCGAGAAAACGGGCGAGAAACCCGUUCACCGAAAGCCUAAGGUUUCCUGAGGAAGGUUAAUCCGCUCAGGGUUAGUCGGACCCUUAGCCGAGGCCGAAAGGCGUAGGCGAUGGAAAACAGGCGAAUAUUCCUGUACCGCUGAUUAAGCGUUUGACCUAUGGGGUGACGCAGAAGUGAAAGGCCAGCCGGCGAUCGGAAGUGCCGGUCUAAGCGCGUAGGGAGUUCUUCCAGGCAAAUCCGGAGGAACAUUAAUCCCGAGACGUUAUGGGGAGAGCAUUAGCUCAUAAACUGGCCCUAAUCAUGCUGCCAAGAAAUAGCCUCUAUGGGAGUUUAGUCAGCGACCGUACCGCAAACGGACACACGUAGGCGGGGUGAGUAUCCUAAGGUGCUCGAGUGAUUCUUCGCGAAGGAACUCGGCAAAUUGGCUCCGUAACUUCGGGAUAAGGAGCGCCCCUCUGGGAAAAGGACUUCGCGUCCGGAUUUCGGAGGGGCCGCAGAGAAAUGGCCCUCGCGACUGUUUACUAAAAACACAGGUCUCUGCUAAGCCGCUAAGGCGAUGUAUAGGGACUGACACCUGCCCGGUGCCGGAAGCUUAAGAGGCGGGGUUAGCACGGCUUGACUGUGCGAAGCUCUAAAUCGAAGCCCCGGUAAACGGCGGCCGUAACUAUAACGGUCCUAAGGUAGCGAAAUUCCUUGUCGGGUAAGUUCCGACCUGCACGAAUGGUGUAACGACUAGGGCACUGUCUCCGCGAAGAGCUCGGCGAAACUGUAGUAGCGGUGAAGAUGCCGUUUACCCGCGACUGGACAGAAAGACCCUGUGCACCUUUACUGUAACCUGGCAUUGGCAUUUGGCUAUUCAUGUGUAGGAUAGGUGGGAGGCUUUGAAGCGUCGUCGCUAGUCGGCGUGGAGCCAUCCUUGAAAUACCACCCUUGAAUCGUUGGGUGUCUAACCAUAGGCCUUGAAUCAGGUCUUGGAACAGUGUCAGGCGGGCAGUUUGACUGGGGCGGUCGCCUCCCAAAAUGUAACGGAGGCGCGCAAAGGUUCCCUCAGGCUGGUUGGUAAUCAGCCGUCGAGUGUAAAGGCAGAAGGGAGCUUGACUGCGAGACUUACAAGUCGAGCAGGUGCGAAAGCAGGCCUUAGUGAUCCGGCGGUUCUGUGUGGAAAGGCCGUCGCUCAUCGGAUAAAAGGUACGCCAGGGAUAACAGGCUGAUCCCCCCCGAGAGUCCAUAUCGACGGGGGGGUUUGGCACCUCGAUGUCGGCUCAUCGCAUCCUGGGGCUGGAGAAGGUCCCAAGGGUCCGGCUGUUCGCCGGUUAAAGCGGUACGCGAGCUGGGUUUAGAACGUCGUGAGACAGUUCGGUCCCUAUCCGUCGUGGGCGCAGGAUGUUUGAGAGGAGCUGUUCCUAGUACGAGAGGACCGGAACGGACGAACCUCUGGUGUACGAGUUAUCGUGCCAACGGUAGCGCUCGGUAGCUAUGUUCGGAUCGGAUAACCGCUGAAAGCAUCUAAGCGGGAAGCCGACCUCAAGAUAAGACAUCCCAUACCACAAGGUAUCUGAAGGCCCCUUGAAGACCACGAGGUUGAUAGGCGGAAGGUGUAAGCGUGGCAACACGUUCAGCCGAUCCGUACUAAUAGGCCGUGUGGCUUGACCGUAU